CCUAUUUUCCUUCUCAACAGUUAACUGUGUGCUACGUCUGUAGUCCUUUUGUCUUUUUGCUUCUACUUUCGAAAUAAUCCUCCUAUCCAUUCCUGUGUUUACCUUUCUUCCACUAACACUUCCAUGCAGGUCUUCAUUCUUAUUUUUCCUGGACUUUUGCAAUAUUCCUCUCAUCUCCACAUCAUUCUUUCUUCAAACCCAUUCAUAAACUACUGUCAUAGUCAUUUUCCUAUUGUCUGAAUCUUAGUUUAUUAUUUUCCCAACCAAAUAAUCUCCGGAAGCUCCCUAUUAACUUAGUAAAGUGAAGACGUUUUUGCCUGACUUCAAAGACCCUAUGCAUUGUCAUUUCAAAAUGCCUUUUAGCCCUAUUUUGCACAAGAUAUGGCAUAAUCCAGCCAAAUUUGAUCCCUUCAUCUUUCCCGAGUACGUCCUGUCUUUUCCAUCCUGCACACCUUUCCUUAUGUGAUUCUAUUUCCUGUAAUGUUAUUGCCCUUGCCUCCAUAGGACGAAUUCUUACUCCAUCUUCAUGCUACCUCUUUCAUCAGAUGAAACGUCACCCAGCGUUGAACCUUGCAACCGCCUGAGAAGACCUGGACUGCUCUCCUUGAUGGACUCGUGCUCCUCAUCUCCCAGGGAGUAGAACUGAAGCUGUAGCCUGGAGGUUAAGCUCUGGGGGCUUUGAAACAGGACAGAUUUCCAAGCCCCUGUCCAGGAUUCUGAUUUAGCUGGCCUGGGAUGAAAACACGGAUCUCUAUGUUUAACAAACAAACCAGUGGAUUUUUAACACAGGGGGUUUAGGAAAUUAUACAAAGUAAACACUCUCCCAGGGCUAAUCUUGUUAUUAAUUGCUUAUUGUCAGUUAAAAGCAUUUCUUCACUGGAGAUGAGGAUAAAGCCCAAACUUAAAGCGUCAGUAAAACUUUCAAAUUGAAGAUUAUUUGUAAAUGUUUUUCUCCUAAAUUCUAAGUCUCCUAUUCCAGAUAGUAUCAUUCUCAUAAUCAAAAUCAUCAAAUCAUCAAAAAAAUAAAAUUCUCAUAAUCGAAAUUUAACGUUCUUCAUUCCACUUAGAAUCAGAGAAAGGCUGUGAACAGCAGGUAAGACCUAGAGUCACUGCAGUGUCUCAUUGUACUGUCUGGCUUCAGCUCCAGGACUGAACACACACAGCCAAUGUUCAGAAUUAUGAUUCUGGAAUUCCACGGUGUUCUGACAGUUAUAUCCUUAAUUAUUUCUUUAGACUUAAUUCCUAAAAGUGGAAUUUCUG
This 1260-nucleotide long non-coding RNA is filed under the name Papio anubis (olive baboon). RNAcentral's name for it is "lncRNA (ENSPANG00000045923.1)". The record is from RNAcentral. Lineage: Eukaryota; Metazoa; Chordata; Mammalia; Primates; Cercopithecidae.